This 406-nucleotide ribosomal RNA is filed under the name uncultured bacterium. RNAcentral describes it as "partial 16S ribosomal RNA". It matches the Rfam family "Bacterial small subunit ribosomal RNA", at positions 29 to 526 of the family's 1533-position model. The record is from RNAcentral.
AUCGAACGCUGGCGGCAGGCUUAACACAUGCAAGUCGAACGAGUGGCGGACGGGUGAGUAAUGCUUGGGAAUCUGGCUUAUGGAGGGGGAUAACGACGGGAAACUGUCGCUAAUACCGCGUACAAUAGGAUGAGCCCAAGUGGGAUUAGGUAGUUGGUGGGGUAAAGGCCUACCAAGCUGACGAUCUCUAGCUGGUCUGAGAGGAUGACAAGGCACACCGGGACUGAGGCACUGCCCGGACUCAUACGGGAGGCAGCAGUGGGGAGGCUUGCGCAAUGGACGAAAGUCUGACGGAGCAACGCCGCGUGAGUGAUGUCGGCCUUCGGGUGGUAAGGCUCUGUUAAUCGGGAGGCGGUACCGGAAUAGAAAGCCACGGCUAACUACGUGCCAGCAGCCGCGGUAAUAC